ACAGGGGCUACACCUGUACCCAUACCGAACACAGAAGUUAAGCCCUAGAACGCCGGAAGUAGUUGGGGGUUGCCCCCUGUGAGAUAGGGAA
This 91-nucleotide ribosomal RNA is filed under the name Streptococcus pseudopneumoniae. The record is from RNAcentral. Lineage: Bacteria; Bacillati; Bacillota; Bacilli; Lactobacillales; Streptococcaceae.